RNAcentral lists this transfer RNA (71 nucleotides) under uncultured Eubacterium sp. The stretch from base 4 to 66 matches the Rfam family "tRNA", at positions 6 to 65 of the family's 71-position model. Rfam says of the family: Transfer RNA (tRNA) molecules are approximately 80 nucleotides in length. Their secondary structure includes four short double-helical elements and three loops (D, anti-codon, and T loops). Lineage: Bacteria; Bacillati; Bacillota; Clostridia; Eubacteriales; Eubacteriaceae. The record is from RNAcentral.
ACCUUUAGCUCAGUUGGUUAGAGCAGUCGGCUCAUAACCGAUCGGUCCCGGGUUCGAGUCCCGUAACCUCC